CCUCAGUAGGAGAAAGGCUCAUCCCAGCAAGAGCCACCUGAGACCCCCUGGUUCUGAGAGGGCAAGGCCGCUUUGUGUGCCGCUUCCUUUUCCAGGCCAGGCAGGAGAGCAAGCAGGGCUCUUUGGAAUCGGGAGCUGAUCGAAAAUGAGGCGGCCAAUGGCCACAGGGUCUGUGGAGGCUCGGCUGGCUUCUACCAAGAACAGGUGCUGGAUUUUGCACUCUGUUAUCCCCUUUUCCCCUGAGGGGUGAAUGCCGUCUCACCGAAGUAGAUUUCUCAGCAUCCAUGAGAUUUUGCUGUGAUUACAAUCUCUUGGAAGAGAAGAAAAUGUACGGGAAUAAGAAGAAAUCGAACGAGAAACAUACUCAGACAGAUACAACUUUCUCCAAGGGAUUCCUUAAGCAGAGUUACCGAUCACGGAUACAAAUUCAUGUGAGAAUGUUUUAAAGGAGAGAAUGAAAAGGCAAAAAAAUAAAGAGCCCUCUCAAAUUGUACCAGAGACACAAUCGGAUUUAACAUUCAGUUUUAUGAAAGCUCCCUCAAUUAGACCUGCUAAGCAUCAACCUUGUGCUAUACCGGUGCCCCCAAACAAACAAUCCUUCCAGAAAUAAUAAAAUGGCA
RNAcentral lists this long non-coding RNA (620 nucleotides) under Aotus nancymaae (Ma's night monkey). RNAcentral describes it as "lncRNA (ENSANAG00000039295.1)". Lineage: Eukaryota; Metazoa; Chordata; Mammalia; Primates; Aotidae. The record is from RNAcentral.